GCGCCCGUAGCUCAGGGGACAGAGCGGCUGCCUUCUAAGCAGCAUGUCGGGGGUUCGAAUCCCUCCGGGCGCGCCA
This 76-nucleotide transfer RNA is filed under the name bacterium. Its description in RNAcentral is "tRNA-Arg". It matches the Rfam family "tRNA". Rfam says of the family: Transfer RNA (tRNA) molecules are approximately 80 nucleotides in length. RNAcentral also lists the same sequence under 6 other names. The record is from RNAcentral.